RNAcentral lists this ribosomal RNA (463 nucleotides) under uncultured bacterium. RNAcentral describes it as "bacterial SSU rRNA". It matches the Rfam family "Bacterial small subunit ribosomal RNA", at positions 30 to 479 of the family's 1533-position model. The record is from RNAcentral.
AUUGAACGCUGGCGGCAUGCCUUACACAUGCAAGUCGAACGGUAACGGGCCUUCGGGUGCCGACGAGUGGCGAACGGGUGAGUAAUGUAUCGGAACGUACCUUUCAGUGGGGGAUAACGUAGCGAAAGUUACGCUAAUACCGCAUAUUCUGUGCGCAGGAAAGCAGGGGAUCGCAAGACCUUGCGCUGAUUGAGCGGCCGAUAUCAGAUUAGCUAGUUGGUGAGGUAAAGGCUCACCAAGGCGACGAUCUGUAGCGGGUCUGAGAGGAUGAUCCGCCACACUGGGACUGAGACACGGUCCAGACUCCUACGGGAGGCAGCAGUGGGGGAAUUUUUGGACAAUGGGGGCGAACCCUGAUCCAGCCAUGCCGCGUGAGUGAAGAAGGCCUCGGUGUAAGUACUCUUCGGUCCGGGACGGAAAGUACGUAUACAGCUAAUACCUACGGUGUCGGAGUGACGGUACC